AUGCUCCCUCGCCCGCAAGUUCCGCUCUCUCCCAUCUACGCAUCACGGCAACACUUCAGCUCCUCUUAUGGAUUCUCACCAGAUCAGGCCACCUCACUCACCUUCAAUUGUCAGGACCUCACCGGCAGAUCCCUCAGCUAUCAGGGAAAGCAGCCAUCAGCGGAGAUUGAGGGUGCCUCUCCGGCGAGAGUGCUCGUGUCGUGGUGGUUUCCCACCAGCGGCAUGGGGGAGGCGGUGUCCUCUACCGCUAGGUCUACUUGCUGGCGACCUCACCGUCACCAGCCCAUCUGUAGCCUACUUGAAUGGAUAUGGUUCCUGAGAGACCAUUUCUUAUGCAUCAGGUCCUGA
RNAcentral lists this ribosomal RNA (348 nucleotides) under Triticum aestivum (bread wheat). Its description in RNAcentral is "partial small subunit ribosomal RNA". The record is from RNAcentral. Lineage: Eukaryota; Viridiplantae; Streptophyta; Magnoliopsida; Poales; Poaceae.